Molecule: unclassified non-coding RNA, 253 nt
Filed under: uncultured Rhodospirillales bacterium
Lineage: Bacteria; Pseudomonadati; Pseudomonadota; Alphaproteobacteria; Rhodospirillales
Description: contains 16S-23S intergenic spacer region
Rfam family: Bacterial small subunit ribosomal RNA
Source: RNAcentral
UACGGAGGGGGCUAGCGUUGUUCGGAAUUACUGGGCGUAAAGAGCGUGUAGGUGGCUUAUUAAGUCAGAGGUGAAAUCCCCGGGCUCAACCUGGGAACUGCCUUUGAUACUGAUAGGCUAGAGUCCGGGAGAGGGUAGUGGAAUUCCCAGUGUAGAGGUGAAAUUCGUAGAUAUUGGGAAGAACACCAGUGGCGAAGGCGGCUACCUGGACCGGUACUGACACUGAGACGCGAAAGCGUGGGGAGCAAACAGG